Long non-coding RNA from Balaenoptera ricei (Rice's whale), 532 nucleotides. RefSeq lists it as uncharacterized. Lineage: Eukaryota; Metazoa; Chordata; Mammalia; Artiodactyla; Balaenopteridae. The record is from RefSeq and is a predicted model, not a curated record. The transcript has 4 exons.
GUCAACAACAUGAGAAGCUGACAAGACGUCAAGGGAGAUGUAGGUUGAAAGGUGUCCAUUGGACUCAGUGACAAGGAGCAAGAGCAGUGUUCACGGAGCUCGUGUCCAGCUGCAUUUGGGUUGAGGAACGAGUGAGAGAGAUAAGGAAGUGCAGGCAUUUCAUCUGAAUCCAACUCUAAUAUUAUUUAAACAAGACUAUAAAGCAUUAUUCCAUAACAACGAACUUGAUUCUCUCCUCUCAGUCAACAGAUCAUCAGAUGUGUAAGGAACUGCCCCUUUGACUUGAGAAUUCCACUUCUAGAAAUUUUUCUCAAGGAGGUGAGGACCAGGAAUUCGGUGUUUCUGGGACACAUUUAUCCCGUCGUAUAUUUGGGGGCCUCCAAGGACUGGCGACAGCAGCCAUGUCCCCGCCUCUGCUCACUGCGACCACCAGCAAAUCCACCUCUAAAGCUGCAGAGAGGACUGUAGAUGCAGAAGAGCUAAGGCGUCACGUCACAAACAGCACUAUCUUCCCAGCACACUCCAACCUCCC